Molecule: long non-coding RNA, 2005 nt
Filed under: Homo sapiens (human)
Lineage: Eukaryota; Metazoa; Chordata; Mammalia; Primates; Hominidae
Description: HSALNT0358314
Source: RNAcentral
CACCUAUACAUGAGAACAUACAAUAUUUGGUUUUCCAUUCCAUCUCAGAGGCCUUCAAGCCCCCAGGCCUGGUUCCUACUCUAUCAACUGCUCUCUGUCUCCAAAAGACUGUCCUUGCUAAUGUCACCAAGGACCUCUAUGAGCCAAAUUUAGGACUUUUCAGCCUUCAUUUGACUCCCAGUCCCUUCAAUAUUGAAGGCUGUUGACUACCCCUUCAUUUGGAAUCUCUCUGUCCCUUCUUUCAUGUCCUCACACUCUCUCUGACUAGUCCUCCCUCAAGCUUCUCACAAGGAAUGGCUUCCCUUUUCUUCAUACUGCACACUACUGCAGGGUAAGUUAAUCUAGCUCUUUGCAGGGAGCUGUGGACAGAGCUUGGACACACAGGCUGGGGCGUCUACACGUGCAUGCAAGCUCUCAACACACAGGAAGGAACUGGAGGUGGGAAAAUAACUCUCAGGCUGGUCAUGAUCUCUCAAACCAGAAUUCCCUUCAUGCCAGCUGCCUAUGGAGCCUCUAGUCAGUCAUUGUGAUGGUCAUGAGUGACCUCACUGAGUGCUGACUGUGAGCCAGGCUGAGUGAUGCACUUUACGUGGAUUAUCACCCUCUGUGGAGUCCCACACUCCUGUGACUCAGGUGUUGUUACUUCCCUUCAAGGCAUCAAGAAGUUAAGGGACUACCCAAGGCCACUGUAGCUAGUAAGUGGGGAAGGUGGGAUUCACACCCAGGGGUCUUGCUCCAGAGCCUGGGCCUAAAACCACUCAAUAUCUUCAAACAAACCUCCUGCUCCUCUGUCAGCCCUUUGUAUAUCAGAGGUGCCAUUAUUCAUGCCCUCAGAAAAGCCAGGGUCCUGGGAGGAGGGGUCCUCACCUCUCAGACAGGGUCAUCACCUCUUACCUCUUUCUCCGACCCACAUUCAGCCAUCACUAAACCAGGCAAACCCCCAUAUCAGUAACUUUCAAAUCCAUUCCUGUUAGGGAAUGAAUGUUUGUUUCCCCCCUCCAUUCCUGUGUUGAAGCUCUAACACUCACUGUGAUGGUAUUUGGUGAUGGGGCCUUUGGAAGGUGAUUAGGUUUAGAUGAGGUCAUGAAGGUGGGGUCCUCACAAUGGGAUUAGUGCCCUUAUAAGAAGAGACUCCAGGGCUUCCUCUCUACCACAUGAGGACAGAGUGAGAAGAUGGCUGUCUGCAACUGCCCUAAGGGCCAUCACAAGAACUCAACCGUGCAGGUCUUGAUCUCAGACUUCCAGCCUCCAGAACUGGGAAACGCCAUGUGAAGAUUAUGGAUUUCUGCUGCCACAAGCCAAGUAACUACCAGAAGCCAGGAGAGAGGGCUGGAGCAAGGGAGCCUGGCCCUGACGACACCUUGAUCUCAGACUUCGGGCCUCCAUAAUUGCACGAGCCACCAUGCCCGACCAGGACCGGUGUUCUUAUAAGAAGAGAGAGACAUCAGGAAUGGGUGUGUACAGAGAAAAGGACACAGCAAGAUGGUGGCCAUUUGCAAGCCAAGGAGAGAGACCUCAGGAGAAACCAACCCGCCAGCACCUUGAUCUUAGACUUCCAGUCUCCAAAAUUGGGAGAAAAUAAACGUUUGUUGUUUAAGACCCCAAUCUGAUAUUUUGUAAUGGCAGCCCUAGCAGACGAAUACACCCACUGUACCAUCUCUUUACCCCAGUAGACUAUGAAACCCUUGGGGACAGGCACCAUUUCUUCAUCCCUCUGUAUUUCAAUGCCUAGCAUAGUGUCUGGUACCUGGAAGAUGGCCAAAAAAUACUAUCUGAAGGAAUGGUCAAUGAGCAUGUGUGACUCUUACAUGACAAUAUAAUACUGGUCAAAUGCCAGAUCAGAACCUUGAGAUGGCUCCCAUGGAGUCAUUAACAUGCUCUAAUUCACUAAUUGAGGUAGCAAUUGAUCUGGGGCUGGAGUCAGGAAGGGAUAGGUUACAGUGAAGUGUCAAAUAGAACCUGUUCACUGAGUUCCCUUGGCCCAGUGCUUGAUGACAGGAUGUCA